This is a long non-coding RNA of Mauremys reevesii (Reeves's turtle), 404 nucleotides long. RefSeq lists it as uncharacterized. Lineage: Eukaryota; Metazoa; Chordata; Testudines; Geoemydidae. The record is from RefSeq and is a predicted model, not a curated record. The transcript is spliced from 3 exons.
UUCCUAGACUUCACAAGUUUCUCCUUCAAGAAGCCCGCUAGGACUUUCAGCCAUUUCCAUAGCUGAAACACAUACGGUAUGAAGCCUAUGACCCUGGGUUCCUGUUCCUUUCAGGCUUCUCAGAGGCGGUCCAAAAUCCCUCUGGGCUAUGUCUCAUAUAAUAGUUCAAAAGCCUGGAAACCUGGACAAACUACUCCAGUAUGAUGGCCUCCACUACUUAUACUUCGGUUUGCUUCUAAGAGUCCAGAGAGUGCCAACACUAUUCUUUCAGGCCUUGUGCCACCACUCAUGGCCAGACACCAGAUGUGGAACUGAGACACAGUGACAUUAAUUGACUUGCCUAAGGUGCCAUAUGUCUGUGGCUGAGCUGGGAAAUACACCCUGAUCUCCUGAGUCCCAAUCCA